This 1782-nucleotide long non-coding RNA is filed under the name Homo sapiens (human). RNAcentral describes it as "PREDICTED lncRNA (TCONS_00002340)". The record is from RNAcentral. Lineage: Eukaryota; Metazoa; Chordata; Mammalia; Primates; Hominidae.
CAACACUUGAAAAGUUUAAAAAUUGGAAACAAGUAUUAGCAAACAUCUUUAAUUUUGCAUAUUUGUAACCAAAAAAACAAGGUAUACAAAAUCCCCUGAAUUUGUACAUGAUGGUGUUUUUUUGACUUAUAAUCAACAAUUGCCUUACUAAGAGUGAUGUUCCUGAAUUGUUUCCUCAGUAAAGGUGUACCAUAGGCUGGGUGCGAUGGCUCAUGCCUGUAAUCCCAGCACUUUGAGAGGCCGAGGCAGGCGGAUCAUCUGAGGUCAGGAGUUCAAGACCAGCCUGGCUAACAUGGCAAAACCCCAUCUCUACUAAAAAUACAAAAAUUAGCCAUGUGUGGUGUUGGGCACCUGUAAUCCCCGCUACUCGGGAGGCUGAGGCAGGAGAAUUACUUGAACCUGGGAGGCAGAGGUUGCAGUGAGCUGAGAUUGUGCCACUGUACUCCAGCCUGAGAGACAGAGUGAGACUCCAUCUCAACAACAACCAAAAAAAGAUUAAAUAGGCUAAUUUAAAUAUAUCUGAACUUUGUGAAAAUGGUAACUCAUGGUCUUUUUGUUAUGAUAUACCUGUGGUUAAUUUUUCUAUCAUGCUGCAGUAAAAGCAAGAUGUAAAUACUGAGUAAUAUCACAAACAUGUUUGAAUCCUAAAAGAAUUUAUGUGACAUGAGCCAGUAACCACUGAAAAAACAGCACAGGUCAUAGGUGGUUCUUAGAAUCAGGAUAAUUUGGAAAAUACUACAGCAGUGGUUCCAUGAGCCAGCAGUGUCAGCAUCACCUGGGAACUUGUUAGAAAUGCAAAUUCUCGGCAGGGCGCGGUGGCUCUUGCCUGUAAUCCCAGCAAUUUGGGAGGCCGAGGUGGGUGGGUCACAAGGUCAGGAGUUCGAGACCAGCCUGGCCAAUAUGGUAAAACCCCGUCUCUACUAAAAAUCCAAAAAUUAGCUGAGCAUGGUGGCGGGCACCUGUAGUCCCAGCUACUCGGGAGGCUGAGGUUGCAGUGAGCCAAGAUCGCACCACUGCACUCCAGUCUGGGCAACAGAGCAAGACUCCGUCUAAAAAAAAAAAAAAAAGAAAUGUAAAUUCUCAGGCCCCACCACAAACCUGCUGAAACGAGGGGUUUGACUCAGCAAUCCUUUAACAAGCCCUCCGGUUGAUUCUGUCAUGUAUGCACCAAAGUUUGACGAUCAUUGUAGUACAGGUAGUUUCUCAUGGAAUCUGCUGGCAUUUUUGGGUAAACACUUUUAUAAAGACAGAUUAUUAGGUAUAAUAAAAGUAACUAUAUAUGUUUAAUAUAAUUCAUAAUAUGAAUGUGACUUUAGAAUUUAGAAAUAAAUGGUUCUUGUAUGGAACUUGUUAACAUUUGAGAACACAGCAUUCCACAGAAUACAGUUUGGGAAAUACUUCACUUGUAUAAUAUAUUUAUUGCCUUAGUCAAAAUUCUUUUUGUCCUCCGCCUCCCACUGCUUCACUUGACUAGCCUAAAAAAAUAAAAAAUAAAAUCCUUUUUGUUUACAUGUAACAGAAACCAGCACUGGCUGUCUAAAGGGGAAGAAAAAGAGUAAUUUACUGGAAGAAAUAGGGGCUAUUGUCUCACAGAAUCUCAAGAAGAUUUCAGCAAACAAGACUCAGGAAAAAAAGGGACAGCAGUAGCCAGAGGAGUUCUGUGAACUUACAGGAGCAGAUCUGUCUAAGCAACUUCUAAACCCUCUGGGUCAGAAUCGGGCUGGCUGGGCUGGGCGCAGUGGCUCCCCGCUGUAAUCCCAGCACUUUGGGAGGCAAAGGCGG